UAGUGUGUGGCAUCAAAGCAUUUAUAGUGAUGUUGCUUUUUGAUCUCUCUGGCAGCUGUUUCUAUUAUCAUACAGCAGAAUUUGCCAACUAUUGGAUUGUUCACCUGCUAAUAGAAAACAUAAGCUGGGUUUAGACCAUCCUGUUAAAGGUU
Molecule: non-coding RNA, 152 nt
Filed under: Chelonia mydas (Green sea turtle)
Lineage: Eukaryota; Metazoa; Chordata; Testudines; Cheloniidae
Description: Eukaryotic large subunit ribosomal RNA
Rfam family: Eukaryotic large subunit ribosomal RNA
Source: Rfam by way of RNAcentral